This 663-nucleotide ribosomal RNA is filed under the name uncultured bacterium. RNAcentral describes it as "bacterial SSU rRNA". It matches the Rfam family "Bacterial small subunit ribosomal RNA", at positions 57 to 709 of the family's 1533-position model. The record is from RNAcentral.
GCAAGUCGAACGGUAACAUAAAGAAGCUUGCUUCUUUGAUGACGAGUGCCGUACGGGUGAGUAAUGCUUGGGAAUCUGGCUUAUGGAGGGGGAUAACUACGGGAAACUGUAGCUAAUACCGCGUAGAAUCGGGAGAUGAAAGUGUGGGACCUUCGGGCCACAUGCCAUAGGGUGAGCCCAAGUGGGAUUAGGUAGUUGGUGAGGUAAAGGCUCACCAAGCCGACGAUCUCUAGCUGGUCUGAGAGGAUGACCAGCCACACUGGGACUGAGACACGGCCCAGACUCCUACGGGAGGCAGCAGUGGGGAAUAUUGCGCAAUGGGGGCAACCCUGACGCAGCCAUGCCGCGUGAAUGAAGAAGGCCUUCGGGUUGUAAAGUACUUUCGGUAGCGAGGAAGGCAUUUAGUUUAAUAGACUAGGUGAUUGACGUUAACUACAGAAGAAGCACCGGCUAACUCCGUGCCAGCAGCCGCGGUAAUACGGAGGGUGCGAGCGUUAAUCGGAAUAACUGGGCGUAAAGGGCACGCAGGCGGUGACUUAAGUGAGGUGUGAAAGCCCCGGGCUUAACCUGGGAAUUGCAUUUCAUACUGGGUCGCUAGAGUACUUUAGGGAGGGGUAGAAUUCCACGUGUAGCGGUGAAAUGCGUAGAGAUGUGGAGGAAUAC